RNAcentral lists this ribosomal RNA (257 nucleotides) under uncultured bacterium. RNAcentral describes it as "partial 16S ribosomal RNA". It matches the Rfam family "Bacterial small subunit ribosomal RNA", at positions 524 to 776 of the family's 1533-position model. The record is from RNAcentral.
UACGUAGGGCGCAAGCGUUAUCCGGAAUUAUUGGGCGUAAAGAGCUCGUAGGCGGUUUGUCGCGUCUGCCGUGAAAGUCCGGGGCUCAACUCCGGAUCUGCGGGUGGGUACGGGCAGACUAGAGUGGCGGUAGGGGAGAAUUGGAAUUCCUGGUGUAGCGGUGGAAUGCGCAGAUAUCAGGAGGAACACCGAUAGCGAAGGCAGCUUACUAAGGAGUAACUGACGCUGAGGCACGAAAGUGUGGGGGAUCAAACAGG